AGUGAACGCUGGCGGUAGGCCUAACACAUGCAAGUCGAACGGCAGCACAGUAAGAGCUUGCUCUUACGGGUGGCGAGUGGCGGACGGGUGAGGAAUACAUCGGAAUCUACUUUUUCGUGGGGGAUAACGUAGGGAAACUUACGCUAAUACCGCAUACGACCUACGGGUGAAAGCAGGGGAUCUUCGGACCUUGCGCGAUUGAAUGAGCCGAUGUCGGAUUAGCUAGUUGGCGGGGUAAAGGCCCACCAAGGCGACGAUCCGUAACUGGUCUGAGAGGAUGAUCAGCCACACUGGAACUGAGACAGGGUCCAGACGCCUACGGGAGGCAGCAGUGGGGAAUAUUGGACAAUGGGCGCAAGCCUGAUCCAGCCAUACCGCGUGGGUGAAGAAGGCCUUCGGGUUGUAAAGCCCUUUUGUUGGGAAAGAAAAGCAGCAGGUUAAUACCCCGCUGUUCUGACGGUACCCAAAGAAUAAGCACCGGCUAACUUCGUG
RNAcentral lists this ribosomal RNA (492 nucleotides) under uncultured bacterium. RNAcentral's name for it is "partial 16S ribosomal RNA". It matches the Rfam family "Bacterial small subunit ribosomal RNA", at positions 29 to 507 of the family's 1533-position model. The record is from RNAcentral.